UUGAAUCCUUAGGAUGCUGCUGGCCUUUAGGGGCAUGUGCACUCCACCUUUCAAUCCACCUGUGAACUUAUUGUAGGCCAGAUGUUAAAGUCUGUGUCUAUGUUUUUACACACCCUUAUAAAAGUUUAUAGAAUGUCUAAUGAUAGACCUUUGAUGGUCAGAAAUGUUAAUA
RNAcentral lists this unclassified non-coding RNA (172 nucleotides) under uncultured Ramariopsis. RNAcentral's name for it is "sequence contains ITS1". Lineage: Eukaryota; Fungi; Basidiomycota; Agaricomycetes; Agaricales; Clavariaceae. The record is from RNAcentral.